CAGUAGCCGCGGUAAUACAGAGGGUGCGAGCGUUAAUCGGAUUUACUGGGCGUAAAGCGUGCGUAGGCGGCUUUUUAAGUCGGAUGUGAAAUCCCUGAGCUUAACUUAGGAAUUGCAUUCGAUACUGGGAAGCUAGAGUAUGGGAGAGGAUGGUAGAAUUCCAGGUGUAGCGGUGAAAUGCGUAGAGAUCUGGAGGAAUACCGAUGGCGAAGGCAGCCAUCUGGCAUAAUACUGACGCUGAGGUACGAAAGCAUGGGGAGCAAACAGGAUUAGAUACCCCUGUAGUCCCUGUCUCUUAUAC
RNAcentral lists this ribosomal RNA (301 nucleotides) under uncultured bacterium. Its description in RNAcentral is "partial 16S ribosomal RNA". It matches the Rfam family "Bacterial small subunit ribosomal RNA", at positions 509 to 807 of the family's 1533-position model. The record is from RNAcentral.